RNAcentral lists this transfer RNA (64 nucleotides) under Aconurella montana. Its description in RNAcentral is "tRNA-Phe". The record is from RNAcentral. Lineage: Eukaryota; Metazoa; Arthropoda; Insecta; Hemiptera; Cicadellidae.
GUUUUUAUAGCUUAUAAAUAGAGUAUUUCAGUGAAGUUGAAAGGGAAAUUAUUAUUUAAAAACA